GAUGAAGAACGCAGCGAAAUGCGAUAAGUAAUGUGAAUUGCAGAAUUCAGUGAAUCAUCGAAUCUUUGAACGCACCUUGCGCCCUUUGGCUAUUCUGAAGGGCAUGCCUGUUUGAGUAUCAUGAACACCUCAACUCUCAUGGUUCGCCAUGAUGAGCUUGGACUUUGGGGGUCUUGCUGGCCUACGGUCGGCUCCUCUCAAAUGAAUCAGCUUGCCAGUGUUUGGUAGAGUCGCAGGUGUGAUAACUAUCUACGCUUGUGGUUUUCUGCCAGAUAACCUUCAGUGAUGGAGGUUCGCUGGAGCUUAUAAAUGUCUCUCCCCAGUGAGGACAGCUUUUUGAACGUUUGAUCUCAAAUCAGGUAGGACUACCCGCUGAACUUAAGCAUAUCAAUAAGCGAGGA
Molecule: unclassified non-coding RNA, 401 nt
Filed under: soil metagenome
Description: partial contains 5.8S ribosomal RNA, internal transcribed spacer 2, and large subunit ribosomal RNA
Rfam family: 5.8S ribosomal RNA (bases 1-121)
Source: RNAcentral